CCUACAUUUGCAAUGUCUUGCUUUUACCUAACAAAGUCCUUCUGUGAUGAACUAAGUUCAUUGGUAGGAGACUAUUGGUGGAGCCAACAAGAUAAAUCCCAUUGCACCCACUGGAUCGGAUGGAAAACUCUCAUUAAGCCCAAAGCACAAGGGGGUUUAGGGUUCCGUGACAUGCAUGACUUCAACUUGGCUCUUCUAUCCAGGCAGAUUUGGCGACUGAUUCAGCAUCCUGAAUCCCUCUGUGCCCAAACGCUGAAAGCGCGUUAUUUCCCCAACGGACAGAUUCUUGAAGCGGCUCCUAGGGACGGCAUCUCCUAUUCAUGGUGCAGCCUCCUACAUGGUCUUCAUCUUUUCAGGGAGGGGUACAUUUGGAGAAUUGGAGAUGGCACCCAAGUGAAUAUUUGGUCCCAUCCCUGGAUUCCACGG
RNAcentral lists this ribosomal RNA (426 nucleotides) under Triticum aestivum (bread wheat). RNAcentral describes it as "partial small subunit ribosomal RNA". The record is from RNAcentral. Lineage: Eukaryota; Viridiplantae; Streptophyta; Magnoliopsida; Poales; Poaceae.